Molecule: long non-coding RNA, 913 nt
Filed under: Homo sapiens (human)
Lineage: Eukaryota; Metazoa; Chordata; Mammalia; Primates; Hominidae
Description: HSALNT0371316
Source: RNAcentral
UUUUUAACCAACUAGGCCCGCCAACCCACAAGCAGAUAGAAAAUAAGCUGAUUCUAUAGGACAGAAAAAGGAAGAGGGCAGGGGUCAUAAGGGGAUGUAAGCAUAAGAUACCCAAGCCAGAAACAGCAACCCUUCCAGGUCCCCUUCCCCCACGUGGAAGCUUUCCUUUCACUUUCGCUUUAAUAAAUCUUGCCGCAGCACACUCUCUAAUCGAGCUGUAACACUCGCCACUGCCGUCCACGGCUUCAUUCCUUGAAGCCGUGAGACCACGAACCCUUCGAUUGAGAAGAACCUUCGGUCGGAAGAAGACUUCUCGUCUCAGUAACAAUAACAAGAAAAACAGCCUAGACUAGACGCACAUCAGGAAGACAGUUAAUCCCGUCAUGUAUUGACCCGGAAACAUCAUCUCAUUUGCCUAUAAGACAGAGAGAGAGAAUGAUAGAAAUGCUGGAAGAACGAGCCUUGGGGCGGUAUCGCCCAGAUCUGAAUCCACACAGCAGCUGCUUCGGUCCCUGUAACUCAAGGCUUCCUCUUAAUCCUCUGUCCUCCAUCAACACCUGGCUGAGCAGGAACAACUAUGACCUAGGACCAGGGCCUUCAGGAAUCUUCACCCCUAACUUGAACUUCAUAACACUGGAGAGAGAGACUGUGGAAUGGAAUGACUCUCCAGAGCUGCAGAUUGAAGAUCUCAAUGGCGGGAACACCUUCAUGGCCCCUUUAUAGCUGGAUGAUCAUUUCCUGUUCUCUCCACCAUGGCCACCUGGUCCAAGCCACCAUCUUCAUGCACCUGGAUACCUGCCAUAACCUCAGCUGACCUUUCCUGUGUCCAUUCUUGUUCCUUUGGGCCCAGUCUCCUCGCUCAUAGCAGCAGAAUGAGUCUAUUAAAAAGUGAAACAAUUUCUGUCACUUCCUG